CUUUGUCCAUUUUUUUUUAGAUGCCUUGCGAGCAGUAGGAGCAGAGAAAAAGGAAGAGUCUGAUUCUCCGUGGGAUUCUGAGCCUGGUUCUGAUAGUCCAAGGAUGGCAUCUCUUGCUGUGUCUCUCCCAGCUGCAGAUGAACAUGGAGUAAGCUCGCUGAGUGUUUCAUGGGAGCACAAUGAGGAUGCCCAACCCGCAGUAGGAGCAGAGAAAGAGAAAGAGUCUGAUUCUCCCUGGGAUUCUGAGCCUUGUUCUGAAAGUCUGAAGAUGGCAUCACUUGCCUGUGCUCUCCCAGCGCAGAUGAA
Molecule: non-coding RNA, 306 nt
Organism: Coturnix japonica (Japanese quail)
Lineage: Eukaryota; Metazoa; Chordata; Aves; Galliformes; Phasianidae
Source: RefSeq, a predicted model, not a curated record